GGCAGGGUCUCGUGCAAGGGAGUCCGCGAACCCCGCCAGGUCCGAAAGGAAGCAACGGUAGCGACAACUACUCUGUGUCGCGUUGCUCUGUCGCC
Molecule: signal recognition particle RNA, 95 nt
Filed under: Bdellovibrionales bacterium
Lineage: Bacteria; Pseudomonadati; Bdellovibrionota; Bdellovibrionia; Bdellovibrionales
Description: signal recognition particle sRNA small type
Rfam family: Bacterial small signal recognition particle RNA
About the family: The signal recognition particle (SRP) is a universally conserved ribonucleoprotein involved in the co-translational targeting of proteins to membranes. Archaeal SRP consists of a 7S RNA and homologues of the eukaryotic SRP19 and SRP54 proteins.
Source: RNAcentral